Molecule: long non-coding RNA, 995 nt
Filed under: Androctonus crassicauda
Lineage: Eukaryota; Metazoa; Arthropoda; Arachnida; Scorpiones; Buthidae
Source: RNAcentral
CAGGACAUUAUUAUUAGAGGACUUAUACAAUAACUUUCAAUAUUAAUUCGUCACAAUCUCAUUAUUUAUAAUACAAUAUAUAUCGUCUAACACAAUUCAAUACAUAGUACUCAAGUUGUAACAUAUUAUAGAACUUUAACAGUAUACAAUAUUAAUUAUUCUCAUAAAGUCCUAUCAACCUUAUCACUAUCCAAUAGUAAAAUGAAAAUAAAUCAUGUUUAUUCAAUUCCAAAUAAUACACAUAUUUGUAAUAUUUCCUAUAAUUUACAAAACAAUCACACACGAUAAUUAUAGGCCCGUCGUCAGCCGACACAUCUCAACGUCAACAAUGACCGGGGGAGACGCGAGUGGAAAACAAUUCCCCCGUUGGAUGUCCCAAGGUCGGCCCGUCUGUCGUUCUCUCGUACCGAUAACUUCAACGACGCAAACAAGAAGAAACAAUUUCAAUGAUGCAAUUAAGCAGAGAAGAAAUAUCGAAUCGGAAAUAAAAGAAUGAGCUUCAUUAAAAGCAAACAUAAUAGAAAACAACACCAAUCGACCAUAUCCAAAUCCACGAAUACAUCAAGAAACCUUAGCAAUAUUAUUUCAUUACCUCUGUUAGACAUUGACCAUUAUUUUGCGCAUUUUUCUAGCGAUAUAGGCUUAAUAUACCUCAUCAAGGCUAACGAAUGUGGUAAUGAACUGAUCUACAAUCAUUUUAGUCAUUAUUCUGGAUGAUUUAAUUCCGCUUUCCGCAAUUUAAAUAAAAUGGCUAUAAUUAAUUGAAUAAAAAUGUCUAUUUUAUUCUCCAUUAUAACGCAAUUGUCUCCCAAGAAAUUAAUUCCUGAUCAUCCGAAUAGACAUUUAAAAAGGAGUAAAGAAAUAUGUAGAUAGAGCAGAUGACUCUUAUCCAUGGGAACAUAAAUAACUAAUCGCCUAUCUCUAAAAGAUCUCUCAUUGGAGGACUUUUACCUUCUACUGAGAGGGUAGUAGGCCUAUUCUGUCCCCGGACCUAC